Molecule: ribosomal RNA, 1697 nt
Filed under: Salmonella enterica subsp. enterica serovar Enteritidis
Lineage: Bacteria; Pseudomonadati; Pseudomonadota; Gammaproteobacteria; Enterobacterales; Enterobacteriaceae
Description: partial 23S ribosomal RNA
Rfam family: Bacterial large subunit ribosomal RNA
Source: RNAcentral
UGUGAGGGUUGCUGGAGGUAUCAGAAGUGCGAAUGCUGACAUAAGUAACGAUAAAGCGGGUGAAAAGCCCGCUCGCCGGAAGACCAAGGGUUCCUGUCCAACGUUAAUCGGGGCAGGGUGAGUCGACCCCUAAGGCGAGGCCGAAAGGCGUAGUCGAUGGGAAACGGGUUAAUAUUCCCGUACUUGGUGUUACUGCGAAGGGGGGACGGAGAAGGCUAUGUUGGCCGGGCGACGGUUGUCCCGGUUUAAGCGUGUAGGUGUGUGUUCCAGGUAAAUCCGGUUCACUUUAACACUGAGGCGUGACGACGAGGCACUACGGUGCUGAAGCAACAAAUGCCCUGCUUCCAGGAAAAGCCUCUAAGCAUCAGGUAACAUCAAAUCGUACCCCAAACCGACACAGGUGGUCAGGUAGAGAAUACCAAGGCGCUUGAGAGAACUCGGGUGAAGGAACUAGGCAAAAUGGUGCCGUAACUUCGGGAGAAGGCACGCUGACACGUAGGUGAAGUGAUUUACUCAUGGAGCUGAAGUCAGUCGAAGAUACCAGCUGGCUGCAACUGUUUAUUAAAAACACAGCACUGUGCAAACACGAAAGUGGACGUAUACGGUGUGACGCCUGCCCGGUGCCGGAAGGUUAAUUGAUGGGGUCAGCGCAAGCGAAGCUCCUGAUCGAAGCCCCGGUAAACGGCGGCCGUAACUAUAACGGUCCUAAGGUAGCGAAAUUCCUUGUCGGGUAAGUUCCGACCUGCACGAAUGGCGUAAUGAUGGCCAGGCUGUCUCCACCCGAGACUCAGUGAAAUUGAACUCGCUGUGAAGAUGCAGUGUACCCGCGGCAAGACGGAAAGACCCCGUGAACCUUUACUAUAGCUUGACACUGAACAUUGAGCCUUGAUGUGUAGGAUAGGUGGGAGGCUUUGAAGUGUGGACGCCAGUCUGCAUGGAGCCGACCUUGAAAUACCACCCUUUAAUGUUUGAUGUUCUAACGUGGACCCGUUACCCGGGUUGCGGACAGUGUCUGGUGGGUAGUUUGACUGGGGCGGUCUCCUCCUAAAGAGUAACGGAGGAGCACGAAGGUUGGCUAAUCCUGGUCGGACAUCAGGAGGUUAGUGCAAUGGCAUAAGCCAGCUUGACUGCGAGCGUGACGGCGCGAGCAGGUGCGAAAGCAGGUCAUAGUGAUCCGGUGGUUCUGAAUGGAAGGGCCAUCGCUCAACGGAUAAAAGGUACUCCGGGGAUAACAGGCUGAUACCGCCCAAGAGUUCAUAUCGACGGCGGUGUUUGGCACCUCGAUGUCGGCUCAUCACAUCCUGGGGCUGAAGUAGGUCCCAAGGGUAUGGCUGUUCGCCAUUUAAAGUGGUACGCGAGCUGGGUUUAGAACGUCGUGAGACAGUUCGGUCCCUAUCUGCCGUGGGCGCUGGAGAACUGAGGGGGGCUGCUCCUAGUACGAGAGGACCGGAGUGGACGCAUCACUGGUGUUCGGGUUGUCAUGCCAAUGGCACUGCCCGGUAGCUAAAUGCGGAAGAGAUAAGUGCUGAAAGCAUCUAAGCACGAAACUUGCCCCGAGAUGAGUUCUCCCUGAGACUUAAAGUCUCCUGAAGGAACGUUGAAGACGACGACGUUGAUAGGCCGGGUGUGUAAGCGCAGCGAUGCGUUGAGCUAACCGGUACUAAUGAACCGUGAGGCUUAACCUUACAACGCCGAAG